RNAcentral lists this ribosomal RNA (630 nucleotides) under Enterococcus faecalis. RNAcentral describes it as "bacterial SSU rRNA". It matches the Rfam family "Bacterial small subunit ribosomal RNA", at positions 903 to 1533 of the family's 1533-position model. Lineage: Bacteria; Bacillati; Bacillota; Bacilli; Lactobacillales; Enterococcaceae. The record is from RNAcentral.
AAAGGAAUUGACGGGGGCCCGCACAAGCGGUGGAGCAUGUGGUUUAAUUCGAAGCAACGCGAAGAACCUUACCAGGUCUUGACAUCCUUUGACCACUCUAGAGAUAGAGCUUUCCCUUCGGGGACAAAGUGACAGGUGGUGCAUGGUUGUCGUCAGCUCGUGUCGUGAGAUGUUGGGUUAAGUCCCGCAACGAGCGCAACCCUUAUUGUUAGUUGCCAUCAUUUAGUUGGGCACUCUAGCGAGACUGCCGGUGACAAACCGGAGGAAGGUGGGGAUGACGUCAAAUCAUCAUGCCCCUUAUGACCUGGGCUACACACGUGCUACAAUGGGAAGUACAACGAGUCGCUAGACCGCGAGGUCAUGCAAAUCUCUUAAAGCUUCUCUCAGUUCGGAUUGCAGGCUGCAACUCGCCUGCAUGAAGCCGGAAUCGCUAGUAAUCGCGGAUCAGCACGCCGCGGUGAAUACGUUCCCGGGCCUUGUACACACCGCCCGUCACACCACGAGAGUUUGUAACACCCGAAGUCGGUGAGGUAACCUUUUUGGAGCCAGCCGCCUAAGGUGGGAUAGAUGAUUGGGGUGAAGUCGUAACAAGGUAGCCGUAUCGGAAGGUGCGGCUGGAUCACCUCCUUU